RNAcentral lists this ribosomal RNA (253 nucleotides) under uncultured bacterium. RNAcentral's name for it is "partial 16S ribosomal RNA". It matches the Rfam family "Bacterial small subunit ribosomal RNA", at positions 524 to 776 of the family's 1533-position model. The record is from RNAcentral.
UACGUAGGGUCCAAGCGUUAUCCGGAAUCACUGGGCGUAAAGCGUGCGUAGGCGGUCUGUUAAGUGAGAUGUGAAAUCGUGUGGCUCAACCAUAUCGUUGUGUCUCAUACUGGCAGACUAGAGGAUAGCAGAGGCAAGUGGAAUUACGAGUGUAGCAGUGAAAUGCGUAGAGAUUCGUAGGAACACCAGUGGCGAAGGCGGCUCUUUGGUCUGUAACUGACGCUGAGGCGCGAAAGCGUGGGGAGCGAACAGG